GAUCCUGGCUCGGGAUGAACGCUGGCGGCGUGCUUAACACAUGCAAGUCGAACGAAGCACUUUAUUUGAUUUCCUUCGGGACUGAUUAUUUUGUGACUGAGUGGCGGACGGGUGAGUAACGCGUGGGUAACCUGCCUUGUACAGGGGGAUAACAGUUGGAAACGGCUGCUAAUACCGCAUAAGCGCACGGCAUCACAUGAUGCAGUGUGAAAAACUCCGGUGGUAUAAGAUGGACCCGCGUUGGA
RNAcentral lists this ribosomal RNA (245 nucleotides) under uncultured bacterium. RNAcentral describes it as "partial 16S ribosomal RNA". It matches the Rfam family "Bacterial small subunit ribosomal RNA", at positions 15 to 240 of the family's 1533-position model. The record is from RNAcentral.